CUACGGGUGGCUGCAGUGGGGAAUUUUGCACAAUGGGGGAAACCCUGAUGCAGCGACGCCGCGUGCGGGAAGAAGGCCUUAGGGUUGUAAACCGCUUUCAAUUGUGAAGAAGGGAUGAGAGUUAAUAGCUUUCUGACUUGACGGUAGCAUUAGAAGAAGCACCGGCUAAUUUCGUGCCAGCAGCCGCGGUAAUACGAAAGGUGCAAGCGUUGUUCGGAUUUACUGGGCGUAAAGAGAUCGUAGGUGGUUUAUUAAGUCGGAUGUGAAAUCCCGGAGCUCAACUUCGGAACUGCAUUCGAUACUGGUAGGCUAGAGUUCGGGAGGGGAAAGCGGAAUUCCGUGUGUAGCAGUGAUAUGCGUAGAUAUACGGAGGAACACCUGAGGCGAAGGCGGCUUUCUGGACCGAUACUGACACUGAGGAUCGAAAGCGUGGGUAGCAAACAGGAUUAGAUACCCUAGUAGUC
RNAcentral lists this ribosomal RNA (464 nucleotides) under uncultured bacterium. Its description in RNAcentral is "partial 16S ribosomal RNA". It matches the Rfam family "Bacterial small subunit ribosomal RNA", at positions 339 to 795 of the family's 1533-position model. The record is from RNAcentral.